CCAGUCGUGGCCGAGUGGUUAAGGCGAUGGACUUGAAAUCCAUUGGGUUAUUCCCGCGUUGGUUCGAAUCCUACCGACUGCG
RNAcentral lists this transfer RNA (82 nucleotides) under Limulus polyphemus (Atlantic horseshoe crab). RNAcentral's name for it is "tRNA-Ser". It matches the Rfam family "tRNA". From Rfam's summary of the family: Transfer RNA (tRNA) molecules are approximately 80 nucleotides in length. Their secondary structure includes four short double-helical elements and three loops (D, anti-codon, and T loops). The record is from RNAcentral. Lineage: Eukaryota; Metazoa; Arthropoda; Merostomata; Xiphosura; Limulidae.